UUUACUUAUUUGUUUUGUACUUAGACGACACGCUUAAACAAGAGUUUUGGUUGUGGGCCACCGGCGGACGCGGGCCAAGGGGACGGAUCCGCCGAAGCAACAAAUGGUAAGGUAGACAAAGGGUAGGAGGUCGAGCCCAGAGGACCCUAACUCGGUAAUGAUCCUUCCGCAGGUUCACCUACGGAAA
Molecule: unclassified non-coding RNA, 187 nt
Filed under: uncultured fungus
Lineage: Eukaryota; Fungi
Description: sequence contains ITS1
Source: RNAcentral